UAGGGAAUCUUCCGCAAUGGGCGAAAGCCUGACGGAGCAACGCCGCGCGAGUGAUGAAGGUUCUCGGAUCGUAAAACUCUGUUAUUAGGGAAGAACAAAUGUGUAAGUAACUAUGCACGUCUUGACGGUACCUAAUCAGAAAGCCACGGCUAACUACGUGCCAGCAGCCGCGGUAAUACGUAGGUGGCAAGCGUUAUCCGGAAGUAUUGGGCGUAAAGCGCGCGUAGGCGGUUUUUUAAGUCUGAUGUGAAAGCCCACGGCUCAACCGUGGAGGGUCAUUGGAAACUGGAAAACUUAAGUGCAGAAGAGGAAAGUGGAAUUCCAUGUGUAGCGGUGAAAUGCGCAGAGAUAUGGAGGAACACCAGUGGCGAAGGCGACUUUCUGGUCUGUAACUGACGCUGAUGUGCGAAAGCGGGGGGAUCAAACAGG
RNAcentral lists this ribosomal RNA (429 nucleotides) under Actinomycetes bacterium. Its description in RNAcentral is "Actinobacteria bacterium partial 16S ribosomal RNA". It matches the Rfam family "Bacterial small subunit ribosomal RNA", at positions 355 to 776 of the family's 1533-position model. Lineage: Bacteria; Bacillati; Actinomycetota; Actinomycetes. The record is from RNAcentral.